UACCGAACCGCUGACACGAGUUGUUGCUGGUCUCCAAGUGGGGGCAUGUGCACGCUCUGUUUGUGCAUCCACUCACACCUGUGCACCUUCUGUAGUUCUGUGGCCUGGGGGACUCGUCCUCCUGCUGCGGUUCUGCAUCUUUACGCUCACGCCGUGAUAAAGUCCAAUGGAAUGCAUGCCGCGUUUAACGCAAUACAAUACAACUUUCAGCAACGGAUCUCUUGGCUCUCGCAUCGAUGAAGAACGCAGCGAAAUGCGAUAAGUAAUGUGAAUUGCAGAAUUCAGUGAAUCAUCGAAUCUUUGAACGCACCUUGCGCCCUUUGGCUAUUCCGAAGGGCAUGCCUGUUUGAGUAUCAUGAACAUCUCAACUCCUCACGGUUUGCCCGUGAUGAGCUUGGACUUUGGGGGUCUUGCCGGCCUGCAGGUCGGCUCCUCUCAAACGAAUCAGCUUGCCGGUGUUUGGCGGCAUCACAGGUGUGAUAACUAUCUGCGCUUGUGGUUUUCUGCCAGGUAACCUCCAGCAAUGGGGGUUCACUGGAGCUCACAAAUGUCUCUCCUCAGCGAGGACAGGUCUUUGAAUGUUUG
This 585-nucleotide unclassified non-coding RNA is filed under the name Thelephoraceae sp. 21 CG-2012. RNAcentral's name for it is "sequence contains ITS1, 5.8S rRNA gene, ITS2". The stretch from base 202 to 356 matches the Rfam family "5.8S ribosomal RNA". Lineage: Eukaryota; Fungi; Basidiomycota; Agaricomycetes; Thelephorales; Thelephoraceae. The record is from RNAcentral.